GGGAAUAUUCGUUUGGUCGUGGAAUAUUCGUACUGUCGGGAAAUAUUCGUACGACGGCGCAACCAUGUGUGGGCCCCAUAACGGAAAGCGAUUGGAGGAAGAAAACGACAAAAAUAAGUUGUUUAAAAAUAACGGCGUAGUUGUUACCAUUUACACUGUUGGAAUACCCGGUGGUUAAAACACAGUAAUACGCGUUGUUGCACAGUAGCACACGGUAUUGCACCAAUUAUUGACUCUUACGUAAGAAGGCACUACUCAAUAAUGGUUACAGUAAUUACUGUUCAGUAUUUUAUUUUAUUGAUUCAAUAAUUGCUGCGUUGAUAUUUUAUAUUGCUGUUGUUUCAAUAAAUUGUUAUUACACAGUAUUUUUCAUUAUCGAAGCAAUAAUUCAUAUUAUCUGAAUAAUAUUAUUAGAUAACAUUAUUGGCAAUGUCUAGAAAGUUCUGUCUAAGGAGAGGUUUGGUCACCUAAUUGCGCGCCAGUAAGGAGAAAUUCUUAUUGGAAAGCCCCCUCUUUCCUGGGAACUGCCUGGUUGUCAAUAUUGUGAUUCUGUAAUAUUAUUUGUGAAUAAUUAAUUAUUGAUUCAUAUGAUGAGGAAAAUAUUGAUUUUAUGUGGAUAUAGAUGGAGAAAAUUUUUA
This 638-nucleotide long non-coding RNA is filed under the name Panax ginseng (ginseng). RNAcentral describes it as "long non-coding RNA (PGIN_LNC000032)". Lineage: Eukaryota; Viridiplantae; Streptophyta; Magnoliopsida; Apiales; Araliaceae. The record is from RNAcentral.